UACGAAGGGGGCUAGCGUUGCUCGGAAUUACUGGGCGUAAAGGGCGCGUAGGCGGCGGACAUAGUCAGGCGUGAAAUUCCUGGGCUUAACCUGGGGGCUGCGCUUGAUACGUGUUUGCUAGAGGAUGGAAGAGGGUCGUGGAAUUCCCAGUGUAGAGGUGAAAUUCGUAGAUAUUGGGAAGAACACCGGUGGCGAAGGCGGCGACCUGGUCCAUUUCUGACGCUGAGGCGCGACAGCGUGGGGAGCAAACAGG
RNAcentral lists this unclassified non-coding RNA (253 nucleotides) under uncultured Alphaproteobacteria bacterium. RNAcentral describes it as "contains 16S-23S intergenic spacer region". It matches the Rfam family "Bacterial small subunit ribosomal RNA", at positions 524 to 776 of the family's 1533-position model. The record is from RNAcentral. Lineage: Bacteria; Pseudomonadati; Pseudomonadota; Alphaproteobacteria.